Molecule: ribosomal RNA, 497 nt
Filed under: uncultured bacterium
Lineage: Bacteria
Description: partial 16S ribosomal RNA
Rfam family: Bacterial small subunit ribosomal RNA
Source: RNAcentral
GAUGAACGCUGGCGGCGUGCCUAAUACAUGCAAGUCGAGCGAACAGACGAGGAGCUUGCUCCUCUGACGUUAGCGGCGGACGGGUGAGUAACACGUGGAUAACCUCCCUAUAAGACUGGGAUAACUUCGGGAAACCGGAGCUAAUACCGGAUAAUAUAUUGAACCGCAUGGUUCAAUAGUGAAAGACGGUUUUGCUGUCACUUAUAGAUGGAUCCGCGCCGCAUUAGCUAGUUGGUAAGGUAACGGCUUACCAAGGCAACGAUGCGUAGCCGACCUGAGAGGGUGAUCGGCCACACGGGAACUGAGACACCGUCCAGACUCCUGCGGGAGGCAGCAGUAGGGAAUGUGCCGCAGUGGGCGAAAGCUUGACGGAGCAACGCCGCGCGAGUGAUGAAGGUCUUCGGAUCGUAAAACUCUGUUAUUAGGGAAGAACAAAUGUGUAAGUAACUAUGCACGUCUUGACGGUACCUAAUCAGAAAGCCACGGCUAACUACGUG